AGAGUUUGAUCCUGGCUCAGAACGAACGCUGGCGGCGUGCUUAACACAUGCAAGUCGAACGAGAAAGCUUCCUUCGGGAAGUGAGUAGAGUGGCGCACGGGUGAGUAACGCGUAGGUAAUCUAUCCUUAUAUUUGGGAUAACAUUGGGAAACUGGUGCUAAUACCGAAUGGUCUUCAUAGCUGUUGGGCUAUGGAGUAAAGGUGGCCUCUUCAUGAAAGCUACCGUGUAGGGAUGAGCCUGCGUACCAUUAGCUAGUAGGUGGGGUAAUGGCCCACCUAGGCUACGAUGGUUAGCGGGUCUGAGAGGAUGAUCCGCCACACUGGAACUGGAACACGGACCAGACUCCUACGGGAGGCAGCAGUGAGGAAUAUUGCGCAAUGGGGGAAACCCUGACGCAGCAACGCCGCGUGAGUGAUGAAGGCUUUCGGGUCGUAAAGCUCUGUCAAGUGGGAAGAACCCACAUGGUGAUAAUACCGCCAUGUGUUGACGGUACCACUGAAGAAGCACCGCUAACU
Molecule: ribosomal RNA, 516 nt
Filed under: uncultured bacterium
Lineage: Bacteria
Description: bacterial SSU rRNA
Rfam family: Bacterial small subunit ribosomal RNA
Source: RNAcentral